UACGGAGGGUGCGAGCGUUAAUCGGAAUUACUGGGCGUAAAGCGUGCGUAGGCGGUUGAUUAAGUCAGAUGUGAAAUCCCGGAGCUCAACUCCGGAACUGCAUUUGAAACUGGUCGACUAGAGUAUUGUAGAGGGUGGUGGAAUUUCCAGUGUAGCGGUGAAAUGCGUAGAGAUUGGAAGGAACAUCAGUGGCGAAGGCGGCCACCUGGACAAAUACUGACGCUGAGGCACGAAAGCGUGGGGAGCAAACAGG
Molecule: ribosomal RNA, 253 nt
Filed under: uncultured bacterium
Lineage: Bacteria
Description: partial 16S ribosomal RNA
Rfam family: Bacterial small subunit ribosomal RNA
Source: RNAcentral